This 65-nucleotide transfer RNA is filed under the name Pseudadimonia sp. BMNH 846586. Its description in RNAcentral is "tRNA-His". The record is from RNAcentral. Lineage: Eukaryota; Metazoa; Arthropoda; Insecta; Coleoptera; Chrysomelidae.
AUCUAAAUAGUUUAAAAAAAAUAUUAGUUUGUGAUACUAAAGUUAUAAGAUUUGUAUUUUAGAUU